UUGUACUCUCACGUGUGAACCAGAAGCUUCCCACCUUUUUACUUUACCAUGGUUUAGGGUUUUCACUUUCUUCAGAGAGAGAAGAGAUUGUGGUCGGUCGUCCGGUCGGUCCCGUACGACUUCUACAAUGGUGGUUCUGAAGCCAGAAUUCAUUGUGCAAUCGAUUCCUUCUCACACACUUUUCAAACCCUAGGUUUAUUCACGCUAUCACAGCUCCGAUUAACCUUCACCGUUCCGAUCAUCUUCUCUGACGAAUGGAUACAUCUGCAUCUGCAACAUCUUCAUCAAACUCGCGGUACAUCGAGCAUCCGGGUAGCAUGUUGGUGAGGCAACAUCCAGAUGGCAUAGUGCUCACUUUGCAACUGUGUGUUUGCAGCGAUGGCGUAACCCGUUCUUAGAUGUGUUCAUCCCUCGAUUACAUAUCCGAGCUUUCAAGGUUCCAAUGCACAAACACAUUCACAUCUCGAUAACACUUUUUUUGGCAGUUGUCAUGUAAUAUCAAAUAUUGUAUCUACUUCUGGGCUAUGAUGAUGUGUUUUAGUUAAAGAAACUGAUACUUUAGUGUUUAUUGGCGUGGCAAAUGAGGUCUUUAACCUCUUAGUGUGCAGCCAACGCGAGUAAUUUUUGUUUCAUCAACAUGUUUGAGCCUACACUGUUGCUGGUGUGCAACAUGUGAUGGACCGCUUGACUCUUUAAUUGAAGAGAACUUAUGUUCUUCUGGCACGAUGAUUUCAACUAACAGUGGGGGAAGCAACAACUCAGAUUUGUUGCUCAACUUAUUAAUUGACUGAU
RNAcentral lists this long non-coding RNA (792 nucleotides) under Helianthus annuus (common sunflower). Lineage: Eukaryota; Viridiplantae; Streptophyta; Magnoliopsida; Asterales; Asteraceae. The record is from RNAcentral.